GGAUUGUGGCUCAGUGGUACAGCACUUGCCUAGCAUGCUUGAGGCACUGGGUUCGAUCCUCAGCACCA
RNAcentral lists this transfer RNA (68 nucleotides) under Marmota monax (woodchuck). Its description in RNAcentral is "tRNA.Ala". The record is from RNAcentral. Lineage: Eukaryota; Metazoa; Chordata; Mammalia; Rodentia; Sciuridae.